AGUGAACGCUGGCGGUAGGCCUAACACAUGCAAGUCGAACGGCAGCACAGUAAGAGCUUGCUCUUACGGGUGGCGAGUGGCGGACGGGUGAGGAAUACAUCGGAAUCUACUUUUUCGUGGGGGAUAACGUAGGGAAACUUACGCUAUUACCGCAUACGACCUACGGGUGAAAGCAGGGGAUCUUCGGACCUUGCGCGAUUGAAUGAGCCGAUGUCGGAUUAGCUAGUUGGCGGGGUAAAGGCCCACCAAGGCGACGAUCCGUAGCUGGUCUGAGAGGAUGAUCAGCCACACUGGAACUGAGACACGGUCCAGACUCCUACGGGAGGCAGCAGUGGGGAAUAUUGGACAAUGGGCGCAAGCCUGAUCCAGCCAUACCGCGUGGGUGAAGAAGGCCUUCGGGUUGUAAAGCCCUUUUGUUGGGAAAGAAAAGCAGCAGGUUAAUACCCCGCUGUUCUGACGGUACCAAAAGAAUAAGCACCGGCUAACUUCGUG
Molecule: ribosomal RNA, 492 nt
Filed under: uncultured bacterium
Lineage: Bacteria
Description: partial 16S ribosomal RNA
Rfam family: Bacterial small subunit ribosomal RNA
Source: RNAcentral